GGGGGAACCCUGAUCCGCCAUGCCGCGUGAGUGAUGAAGGCCUUCGGGUUGUAAAACUCUUUCGACGGGGACGAUAAUGACGGUACCCGUAGAAGAAGCUCCGGCUAACUUCGUGCCAGCAGCCGCGGUAAUACGAAGGGGGCUAGCGUUGUUCGGAAUUACUGGGCGUAAAGCGCGCGCAGGCGGCCUUUCAAGUCAGGGGUGAAAGCCCAGAGCUCAACUCUGGAACUGCCUUUGAAACUGACAGGCUUGAGUACGGGAGAGGUGAGUGGAAUUCCCAGUGUAGAGGUGAAAUUCGUAGAUAUUGGGAAGAACACCGGUGGCGAAGGCGGCUCACUGGCCCGUUUCUGACGCUCAGGCGCGACAGCGUGGGGAUCAAACAGGAUUAGAUACCCUGGUAGUCCACGCCGUAAACUAUGAACGCUAGCCGUUGGCAGGCUUGCCUGUCAGUGGCGCAGCUAACGCAUUAAGCGUUCCGCCUGGGGAGUACGGCCGCAAGGUUGAAACUCAAAAGAAUUGACGGA
Molecule: ribosomal RNA, 524 nt
Filed under: uncultured bacterium
Lineage: Bacteria
Description: bacterial SSU rRNA
Rfam family: Bacterial small subunit ribosomal RNA
Source: RNAcentral